This 253-nucleotide ribosomal RNA is filed under the name uncultured bacterium. Its description in RNAcentral is "partial 16S ribosomal RNA". It matches the Rfam family "Bacterial small subunit ribosomal RNA", at positions 524 to 776 of the family's 1533-position model. The record is from RNAcentral.
UACGAAGGGUGCUAGCGUUGUUCGGAAUCACUGGGCGUAAAGGGUGCGUAGGCGGCUAGACAAGUCAGGGAUGAAAGCCUGGAGCUUAACUCCAGAACUGCCCUUGAAACUGUCUGGCUAGAGUGUCGGAGGGGAUAGCGGAAUUUCUAAUGUAGCGGUGAAAUGCGUAGAUAUUAGAAGGAACACCGGUGGCGAAGGCGGCUAUCUGGACGACAACUGACGCUGAGGCACGAAAGCGUGGGGAGCAAACAGG